ACUCAAAGGAAUUGACGGGGACCCGCACAAGCGGUGGAGCGUGUGGUUUAAUUCGACGCUAAGCGAAGAACCUUACCAGGGCUUGACAUCCCGGGAGUCUCUUGGAAACAAGAGAGUGCCGCAAGGAGCCCGGUGACAGGUGUUGCAUGGCCGUCGUCAGCUCGUGUCGUGAGAUGUUGGGUUAAGUCCCGCAACGAGCGCAACCCUUGUCGUAUGUUGUAUUUUUCAUACGAGACUGCCUCGGUCAACGAGGAGGAAGGUGGGGAUGACGUCAGGUCAGCAUGACCCUUAUGCCCUGGGCGACACACGCGCUACAAUGGCCGGUACAAUGAGUCGCGAACUCGUAAGAAGGAGCUAAUCUCAUCAAAGCCGGUCUCAGUUCGGAUUGAGGGCUGCAACUCGCCCUCAUGAAGCCGGAAUCGCUAGUAAACGCGGAUCAGCCAUGCCGCGUUGAAUACGUUCUCGGGUCUUGCACACACCGCCCGU
Molecule: ribosomal RNA, 486 nt
Filed under: uncultured bacterium
Lineage: Bacteria
Description: partial 16S ribosomal RNA
Rfam family: Bacterial small subunit ribosomal RNA
Source: RNAcentral